Molecule: ribosomal RNA, 492 nt
Filed under: uncultured bacterium
Lineage: Bacteria
Description: partial 16S ribosomal RNA
Rfam family: Bacterial small subunit ribosomal RNA
Source: RNAcentral
AGUGAACGCUGGCGGUAGGCCUAACACAUGCAAGUCGAACGGCAGCACAGUAAGAGCUUGCUCUUACGGGUGGCGAGUGGCGGACGGGUGAGGAAUACAUCGGAAUCUACUUUUUCGUGGGGGAUAACGUAGGGAAACUUACGCUAAUACCGCAUACGACCUACGGGUGAAAGCAGGGGAUCUUCGGACCUUGCGCGAUUGAAUGAGCCGAUGUCGGAUUAGCUAGUUGGCGGGGUAAAGGCCCACCAAGGCGACGAUCCGUAGCUGGUCGGAGAGGAUGAUCAGCCACACUGGAACUGGGACACGGUCCAGACGCCUACGGGAGGCAGCAGUGGGGAAUAUUGGACAAUGGGCGCAAGCCUGAUCCAGCCAUAGCGCGUGGGUGAAGAAGGCCUUCGGGUUGUAAAGCCCUUUUGUUGGGAAAGAAAAGCAGCAGGUUAAGACCCCGCGGUUCUGACGGUACCCAAAGAAGAAGCACCGGCUAACUUCGUG